GGGGAAUUUUGCGCAAUGGGCGGAAGCCUGACGCAGCAACGCCGCGUGGAGGAUGAAGGUCUUUGGAUUGUAAACUCCUGUCAGCAGGGAAAAAGGGACUUGUGCUCAUACCACGGGGACUUGAUUGUACCUGCAGAGGAAGCCCCGGCUAACUCUGUGCCAGCAGCCGCGGUAAUACAGAGGGGGCAAGCGUUAUUCGGAAUUAUUGGGCGUAAAGGGCGCGUAGGCGGCGAUUCAAGUGGCGGGUGAAAUCCCUCGGCUUAACCGAGGAACUGCCUGCCAGACUGGAUUGCUUGAGUCCGGGAGAGGUGAGUGGAAUUCCCAGUGUAGCGGUGAAAUGCGUAGAUAUUGGGAGGAACACCAGUGGCGAAGGCGGCUCACUGGACCGGAACUGACGCUGAGGCGCGAAAGCGUGGGGAGCAAAC
RNAcentral lists this ribosomal RNA (425 nucleotides) under uncultured bacterium. RNAcentral describes it as "bacterial SSU rRNA". It matches the Rfam family "Bacterial small subunit ribosomal RNA", at positions 356 to 773 of the family's 1533-position model. The record is from RNAcentral.